CCAGAGUAUCAAUUGGAGGGCAAGUCUGGUGCCAGCAGCCGCGGUAAUUCCAGCUCCAAUAGCGUAUAUUAAACUUGUUGCAGUUAAAAAGCUCGUAGUUGAAUUUCUGCUGUAUCGUUUUCCUCUGCUUGACAGUUGGAUUUCGUUACGGCUUAGUUGGGUUACAGAUCUUGUUACCCAACGUUUACUUUGAGAAAAUUAGAGUGCU
RNAcentral lists this ribosomal RNA (208 nucleotides) under Theileria equi. RNAcentral's name for it is "partial small subunit ribosomal RNA". It matches the Rfam family "Eukaryotic small subunit ribosomal RNA", at positions 536 to 775 of the family's 1831-position model. The record is from RNAcentral. Lineage: Eukaryota; Apicomplexa; Aconoidasida; Piroplasmida; Theileriidae.